Molecule: long non-coding RNA, 9798 nt
Filed under: Fragaria vesca (wild strawberry)
Lineage: Eukaryota; Viridiplantae; Streptophyta; Magnoliopsida; Rosales; Rosaceae
Description: long non-coding RNA (FVES_LNC005544)
Source: RNAcentral
UAAACACUCAUAUAGGGCUACUACGCUCACGUCCAACGCUUACGUCACACCAUAAUGCGGCUAUAUGCUACGCCAUUAAGGUGGACGGACACAUAUGGCUAGCUAGCAUUUUAUAUACAUACUCUCUCAUAAAUACAUAUUUAUAUCUACCGAAAAUCCCAUUUUCGGUAACUCUCCAAGAGAAAUAAAAUUCGUCAAAUUAAAAUGACGUCAAAAUAUUCCGCAACAAUUAUUGUUCAACCAUGAACUCUAGCAUGCAUUUUAUUUAAAACAAAAGUCCACUCACAAAUUAGGCCUAAGCCUGAUGUCGAUCUGGGGUCUCGUCUGCUCGAGCCUCCUCACGUCCUGUUCCAAAUAUAAUAUUAAUUUCCUAACUAACAAUCCAAUAUUUAAUCAAAAUAGGCAAAAUUACCCGUGAGCCAUAAAUACGCUCAUCAUUGCCUAACUUCGAUAUUCUUAAAUCGAAACGAUCCGAACUUAAAUAUCAUACUCGACAGUUGUAAAUACAACCUCCCCAAAAAUACGACUUAAAUCUUACGGCUGGAUUCUACAUUAAUUAACCGCCAAAAAUACCAAACUUCGGAAAUUCACAAACCUAUCCAAAUCUCAUCCAAAAAUUCCAUAAAUCACAUCAAUAUAAUCCCCUUAAUAUUCCACAUUUAAAACCAUAAAAAUCUCCCAAACAGCGACGGCGGCUCCGCCGGCAGCGGCGGCCGGAGGCCGAUUCCAGUGACCUCCAAUGCCUAUGAAAUUUUGAUAGAAUAAUCCUCUCAUCAUGCUCUACAACUCUCUUAACUAGCACAAACACCAAUUCCAAGCCUAACUAGGGUAAUCGACUAAAAACAUCCUAAAAGCCCUAGAAAUUUCAACUCCACAUUUCUCCUUGCCUAGCUCAAGAGAGGGUGAGCUCUUUGGAGGGGUUGCUGCACUGGAGGAGGGCUACAAAACGAGCUAAGGAUCGCCGGUUUUGGUGGCCGGAGGAGGGAGUUCCGGUAAAGGAUAGUCCGGCGUCUCCGGAGGGAAAACUCCCGCUCGGCGGCGUUACCGGCAGGGGCACUAGGCCGGGAAGGGAGAGGAGGUGGCGGGGCUCCGAACUGGGUUGGAGCGGCGGCCGGUGACUGGCCGGACGGCGGCAUACGUUGGCUGGACGAUCCGGUAGGGAAGAAGACUCGGGGGGAGGGGAAAACGGGAGAGAAGAGAGGGAAAUGGGUUGGGCCUUUCCAACCGGUCCAACUCCACCAUUAUAUCCAACUCCCAAAAAUAAUAAAACACCCCGAAAAAUAAUACCCUAAUAAAAAUUACCUUUUACUAGCUAAAAUUUACCAUUUUUUACCGUCGUCGUAUUUUCCUCCUACGAAUAAUCCUCCGCACAUAAUCGUCCCCGAAACCCCUCUAGGGACCAAUUAAACUAUUAACUUAAUGACGGAGACGGUAAAAUUCUUAUUAUAAUCAAGCUAGUAAAUAAGGUAAAAAUAUAAAGGUCGGGAUGUGACAUUUUCUGCUGGAAGAGAGAGCGUCCAAAUGAUACCAACAGCUCCGGCUAUGGUGGCCGAAAAAGGGAUUUUCCGGCGAAAACCCCGCCACGCACAGCAGCGGCUUUUCGGCAUGAUUUCUCCUUCACGGUGACGCGACACGGGCUGCCACCUAUCUAAACUUGUAGAGGAUGCUCCAAGCUUCAAAUCAACACCUAGCACGCCUCCUAUCUCGGCCGGACGGUGGCGGACGGCGACCGGAAAGUUUCCGGGUCGGGAGAGCUCGGGGAUGAGGCCGGGAAGGAGAGAAGAGAAAGGGAAAAGAGAGGGCUGGGAUGUGACAUAAUCUACCUUGAAAAUGGACAACCCUUACCUGAAAAAUUCUGGAUAAACACUUCUAUUAUAAAUCAUCCAUUCUCAACUCCUAGAGCUUCUUGCUCCUUAAGUUCACAACAUCUCCCAAAACAUCAAGCCUUAAUCAAUUAAUAACAAUCUCAAAUGGUCAUCAGAGCAUAUUUAUAAUGAACGAAAAACAAUGAAUAAAGAAUAAGCGGAAGCAGCCUCUAAGUAUGACUCGACUCCAUGUAUGCUCGACUACAAUUAAACUUAACCUGCAAACUGAGCAUUUAAAACCAAAGGGCCCAGGGAAAAUAAUUUAAAACGUUAGAGUGAGUAGACAAAAAUAAAUUAAAUAAUUUAACAAAUACAUAAUUUAUAUAUUUUCCCACGUUUCAACUUUUAAAAUUUAACUACACACAUCUUUGAUAAUCCAAACAACUCAGAAUUCCAUAAAAAUAGACAAACCAGCGGGAUCAAAUACAGAAAUCUCGACAGAAGAGAUAAACCAGCCCCGGUGGUUAAUCAAUUACAUAAAUGAGAAAAAUAAGACAAGGGGAAGAGAUAUCACCAUAUAAAAGGAGCCUCCAAGGCUCGGGUCGGUGCCUCCCAGGCUAUAGUAGCGUCCCACGCUAAGCGCUUGACUCACCUAUGGUUAGGACCGCUAAUAAGACUAGCUAGCAAUGAAUAGUAGUAACCGAUCGGUGCCUCCCAGGCUACAGUAGCGUCCCACGCUAAGGGCUCGACUUAUCUAUGUUGAGGACCGCUAAUAAAGGCUAGCUAAUAAUGAAUAAGAGCAACCCUAUAGUAUGGUGACUAAAAACAUACGAAAUCAUUUAUGUCAAGACCCACCCCGAAUUUCAUCCUGAAACCCGAAGUAAAUCCUGCGGGGACCACCUCCACCUCCAAGGAAAGAGUACCGAAAAUUCGGCAUAACCUCCUUUGAAAAUGGACAACCCUUCCUAAUAAUACCUGCAUACACUUCUGAAAAUCCAAAUCCAACCUUAAACUUCUGGAGCCAUCAUGCUCCCCCAAAUCACAACAUCUCUCAAUUUAUUUACUAACUUUAAAAAGAAAAUCUCACAACCAACAACCACAGUUCAGAGCAACUCUAUUUGAGAGGAAAAGAACUAGAAAUAUAAAAAUGAGCGGAAUCUAUAUUAUUGACUAUGCCUCUUCUUCAUGUACGCCCGACCUCAACUAUGCUAACCUGCAUACUAGGCAUUUUUAAAACGAAGGACCAAGGGGAAACAUUUGAAAAUGUUAGAGUGAGUAGACAAAAAUGAAUUUAAUGAAAAAUAUUUAUGCUUUCCCAAUUUAAAUUUCAAUAGAAAAUAUGCUGCAUGCGACAGCUCAAAAGCUCUCAACUCAACAAUUGACAAUUACAUGACUAGCUCCGGCUAGUCUCCAAACUUAAUAAAAUAAAGCCUCUCAGGCUAAACUAAUAUAUAUAUAUAUAUAUGUAUGCAUUUACACUCAUCAUACUCCUUGUACGAAUUCUAUGAAGGAAUAAGAAAAUAGAAAUUUAUACAAGGCUACUACGCUUGCGUCUAACGCUCACGUCACACCAUAACAGAAUUUUACAUCAUUAUGGUGGAAAAGAACGAGUGUAUAUAUACGUGCAUAUUCCCUAUAUAAAUUACUAAAUUUAUAAAGGGCUGCGACGAUUGCGUCUAACGCUCACGUCACACCAUAAUGGAAUUUUACCUCAUUAUGGCAGAAAAGCACGUAUAGCUAGCUAGCAUUUAUUUAUAUACAUACUAUCCUCAUAAUAUCCACAUACAUAUUCACUGAAAAUCUCAUUUUCAGUAAGUCUCAAAAACGAUGAAAAUUGCCAAAUAUCCGAAAAAACAAUAAAUCCCAGCAGAAGAAUAACUGAUCAACAAAAUAAUGCAUCACAUGCUUUUUAAAUUAAAAGCCACAACUUUAGGCAUAAGCCCGACGAAAUCCAAUUCGCCACUCAAGUGAGGUCUACACGAAUCCUGGCACAAUAACCAUUCUUAGGACCAAACUUCAAUUUCAGAAAAAAUAAUACUUAAAUAUAGAACACAAAACUCUUCCUCCUAAUCCACUACACUUUCUAAGGUUAAGCUUAUCGGAUUCACGCCAAACUCCAACCACAACCUCAAUUCAUUUAUUUCAACAUUCUAAAACAAUAAUAAGGAAAAUCCAACGGUCUGAUUCUACCCCAUUAACCGCCAAAUUCACCAAUCUUUCAAAAAUCCCAAACCUAUCCAAAACUCCUCCAAAAAUUCCAAACUUCACAUCAUUAAACUUCCCUUAAUAUUACACAUUUAAAACCAUGAAAAUCCCCUAACAGCGGCGGCGCAGCCGUCUGCUAUGCCGGCUGUGGCGGCUGGCGGCCGACUCCGGCUACCCUCAAUGCCUACCAAAUUUUAACAGCUUCCUCCUCUCAACACACUACAACUUUCUUAACUAGCACCAAGUCCAAUUUCAAGCUUAGGCCAGUAGAACAAAAACUUACAAUAAAACCCUAUAACUUCAAACACUCGAAUCUCCUUACCUAGGCCAAGAGAGAGUGAAACAUUUGGAGGGAUGAAUGCACGGGAGGAGAGCUUCCUUCUGAGCCAAGUAGCUUCGGCUAUGGCGGCCGGAGGAGAAAGUUCCGGCGACGGAACACCACGGACAGCUGGAGCUUCCAAGCGCGAUCUCUCCUUCACGGCCGCGCUAGGGAGGCUGCCAUCGGUCCAGGAAGGAAGAGGAGAUGAUGGCUGACCGUUUGGGACUGGUGCGGCUACCUGCGGUGGCUGGACGGCGACGGAUGGUCGGGUUGAAGUUCCGGUAGGGAGAGAGCUCGGGGAGGAAAAGAGAAGAGAAAGAGAGAGAGAGAGAGUGGGCUUUUGACUACACUAACCCAAUCCACUCCCUUAAAACCCAAACCAACAAAUAAAACACCUCAAAAAUAAUACCCUAUUAAAAAUUCCUUUUUUACUAGCUAAAAUACCACUUUUACCGUUGUCAUAUUUUUCCCUUGCGAAUAAUCCUUCUGAAAUAAUCCUCCCCCAAAACCCCUCUAGGGACCAAUUAAACUAUAAACUCAUUGACGAAGACGGUAAAACUCUUAUUAAUACCAAGCUAAUAAAUAAGGUAAAAAUUUAAGAGUCAGGAUGUGACAAUUCUUCCCUCCUUAUAAAAAAUUUCGUCCUCGAAAUUUACAUACUUGACAAUCAAAGAGGAAGGGAUAUUGGUGCCUCAUUUGCUCCUCCGAUUUCCAAGUAGCCUGCUCUACUUGAUGACUCCUCCACAGAACUUUAACAAGUGGAAAUGAUUUGCUUUUAAGCACUUGCUCCUUUUGGUCAAGAAUUUGAACCGGCUCCUCAUCAUAGGUCAAAUCUUUCUUCAAAUUAAUCGGUUGCUCUUGCAACACAUGAGAGAGAUCGGCAAUAAACUUGCGAAGCAUGGAUACAUGAAACACAUUAUGUAUCUUGGAUAACUCUGGAGGCAAAACUAACCGAUACGCAAGUGAGCCAACUCGCUUUAUAAUCUCAUAAAGACCAAUAAAUCUUGGACUAAGUUUUCCACGUUUACCAAAACGUAUUACCCUUUUCCAAGGAGAAAAUUUCAAGAACACCCAAUCACCCACUUGAAACUCAUGGUCCAUCUUGCGGACAUCUUUAUAACCCUUCUGUCUACUUUGGGCUGCUUUGAGUCUAUCUCUAACUACUUUAAUCUUUUCAUUUAUAUCCUGAAUUAUUUUAAAUCUUUUCAAAGACUCUAAAUCCUUCGUUGAACUACCACUAACGUUUAUACGUAAGUGAGUUCAGUGAUACCUGCUCCAGAGUAUGAGUACCCGUAGGUAUGCACACUUUUUCCUAAGCAAUGGAAAUAGCUAACCCAAAUAAAACGCAUAAAUUUGCUAUCACCAUCGGGCUCAAAUCUCUUAACGUCAUGCAACAAUCUCAUCAUUACGUUGCUCACAACUAGACAAUGAAGCCCACUUGCUAGGAAACUAAAGUUCAUGCAUUCCCACAUGCUCAUAGGGGUCAAAAUUAAGACCCGCUAAUUGAACAGAUUUAAAGAUGCACACACUACAGAACUGCAACAAUCACUUCUAAUACCGAGACACUUCGCAGAGUCUUUCGCGGAGUCAAAGCUCUCGCAAGGCCACAUGACAACCUUGCUCUGCCUAAGUGACCAGUCCACCAACAUAUGAUAACCUCGAUUCUUGAAAUGACAUUAUGUAGAGAUCAAUACUACGUCACUUAGGUCUCUCCACCAAAACUAUUACAUUACCAUUUUGAGCACCACAAACUAGCAGCUUAUGGGAAUUCCAACUCUCUCCUGAUUCUGCUAUCUCCACUAAUCUCUUUACCACAAACCAGAAGAUAAUCUGAAACAUGACUAUCAUGUGGGAACUAGAUAUUCCUCCUUGCUCGCGAAAAACAAAACUGACUAAUAAUGCCCACGGAAAAUUGGCAUAGUCAAUUCAUGAUGCUAAACUUGACGUUGAAUCCACAUAAAUAGAACACAUUCCUUAAGCAUUGACAAAAUUUACAUCUCCAGCCAUGCUACUUAUUCGGGUGCAACCGCGACCCCAAGUGCAACAAUUAAAAGCACACGGCUCACUCUAGCCGUUCCACAAGAAUGAUUCUAAAUGCCAAAACCUUUGGACCUGACAAACCCACUUUUUUUUUUUUCUACCUCUAAUAACAAUUAAUCUGAUAGCAGAAUACGAUCUGAAAAUCAGAUAUGCUCAAGUCUCCUACACCUCCCAGGCGCCACGGCUUCCCACCAAAAAGAUUCUCCAAUAACCGAGCUUGCAGCACCAAGUUAACCAUCGAAUAUAAAAAUUAAUUUCCAUAACAGACCCACUACUACAUUUUGUGGUUCACCAUCCAACGAAAACUAUAAGUUCAAGAAAGAAACAACACUCAUGGCUAAUCUCAACGCAAGCUCCAGAAUAAAUAACUUAAAAUUCAUGAAAGACAAGUCCCACAACUUCGAGCUCAAAAGCUUCACAAAUCACCGACGUCCACUAGAACCUGAUUUGAAAACGCACUAGAAACCAACAUUUAAUAGUGGUUUCAACUAAUCACUCUGACACCAACGGAUGAACACACAACCAAAUAGCAAAGACUUCCCAAAUCAAACUUGGAUCAAUAAGUGGUCCCACCACAAUACGAUCCCGAAAAGAGACGUCGUUCAACCUAUCCAUAUAUCUACUAUUCACCAUAUUAAAUCUCUUAAUAAAUCUUGACUCGAAGUGCUUCUUGAGUCAACAAGGGAAAACCCUCUUCCAUAGGGCUACACAUAAAAUAUACCUACAACGACACAAACCAUCUAUUCAACAUCAGCACGUGACUCUUAGACUACCACAUAGGACUUACGGGUCCAAGAUUCAUCGUUUAAUUGAACUCCAGCUCACUUGGGAUCACGAUUGGAUUUACCCAUGAUCCAUGUCUACGACACAACAAGCAAUUUAUCAUUUGCCUCAAAAAAAUUCGACAAACUAACCAGAAUCACUAACCUUCAAAUCAAAGAGUUUGAAUUUGCACUCCAUAGUUUCAAGCUCUGAGGAUGCUACCCAAAAACUACAGCAGGAAUAAUUUAUAUAUUCCCACACACAUAACAACCAAAACUCUGCUCCACAUCAUCGAAUUAGAUAUAAGGUGAGUGAACUGAUACUCUCAUUGAUGUGUCAUAGCUAGUCUCCAAAUGCUAAUGAAGUGAUGUCAAUAAACCAACUUGGAUCCCAAAUUCAAGACUUAUAUCAACCACCCGGAACGAUACUGCUUAAAAAUUACUUUGGAUACCCACGCACUCUUGCUCCAUGAUCUAAUGGGUUUUAUUCCACUGCUACCACUUCCACCAACUCUACACAAUUGCUAUAGAAUACCCAUGACAACACGUAAUAAAUUCACCAGGUGUUGUCGUAAAACUAGAGUGACCACAACCAUCCCGCUCUCACUCCACCGUUACAUUUCAAUUCCAUUUACAUUAUCAACUUCCCAAACACUCAACAAAUCUAGAAACCAAACUUACACCUAGAAUUUCGAAAGAAUCCAUAAUGGCCCCACGAUUAAAAUAAUAUAACUAACAUCUCACUCCACGAUUCCAAACUUGCUUGAAACUCAAAACAUUUAGUGCCACCAUUCAAUUUCUAAAAUUUCCCGAUUGUGGCACAACAACAAGUUGUCACAACGCACUGACCAAUGACUUAUGUAAAACCAACCCAAGGAAAAACAAUCCAAGUCAUUACACUUAGUGCUUUAACAAACUUCAACUAACCCACAAUAGAGACCAAAAUCAUUAGAAAUCUUACUAUUCAUCGACUACUAUGAUCCGUCAUUUUCAAAAGAUAUUACCACCACCAUCUUAAUAAAUUGGUCAAAAGAUAAAAUCUUAUCCAUAAUUAGAGUUGUAGGAACCAGAAUAUGUGCUGACAUAACCAGCAUUAUCCCAAAAUGUUCCCAACUGCUUUCUGUUGCGGAUAAAAAAUAGUCGGCAAAUUGGCCUUCAAUCAUGACUUAUCUAAAUUGACAUUUAGCUCUUUAUGUAGCAAUGCCUUACAACCCAAUCACUAGCCACAAAUCCCACGUGACUAAAUCGCUCAAGCUUAGGGUCUGCAACAGCUCAUAAAGGUACCUCCAAGAGUUACUAUAGGUACCCCACGAUAACACUUCAACUAACUUUAACAUCAAAAGAAUACACCACUACUUCGAACUUUCUUUCCAACUAUUUCCUCCCAGAAGUCACAUAACUCGAAGCCAAGGUUUUCUAUCAGACUACAACAACUCCUUACUUGCCCACCAAAAACAGAAUACUCCCAAGACAUAAAUUGAAACAUUUCACCUACCAUAGAUUCACACAAAUUGCCUAACCUAGCAUCUUAAUCAUCACCCAAACAAUCAUUGAUCAAAAGAAAAGAAUGUUGCCACGCUUAUGAGUUCCCAACUGGAGUUCCCAACUCACAAUUGAACUCUAACAAUUUAUGAUAUCAACUCGAUACCCUUGGAAAAGGCGUGAUCCAUACACCAUUUCAUUACUCAAAGCAUAAUGAUUUACUUAAGAGGUCGGCGUACAGAGGCUUAGUCUUAGAGAUAUAGACAUUUAUGGUACAAUAUUGUCCAUAAACAAGAUAGGAACAACUACAUCACAAACCUAAUCAACACAUAGUGUCUAAAACAUAUAAUGCUAAUGGAUCCGCCGCGGUCGGACCAUCACUCUAUAAACACUAAGCAUGACCAAGAAUAUGAAGUAGUACUAAAAAGAGAAAGGAAUCGAAUAACCUAGUGCUCUGAUAUGAACUUUCAAGACCCACCCCGAAUUUCACCCUGAAACCCGAAGUAAAUCCUACGGGGACCACCUCCAAGGAAAGUUUACCGAAAAUUCGGCAUAACCUCCUUUGAAAAUAGACAACCCUUCCUAAUAAUACCUGCAUACACUUCUGAAAAUCCAAAUCCAACCUUAAACUCCUGGAGUCUUCGUGCUCUCCUAAAUCACAACAUCUCUCAAUUUGUUUACUAACUUUAAAAACAAAAUCUCACAACCAACAACCACAGUUCAGAGCAACUCUAUUUAAGAGGAAAAGAACUAGAAAUAUAAAAAUGAGCGAAAGUUAUACUAUUGACUUUGCCUCUUCUUCAUGUACGCCUAACCUCAACUAUGCUAACCUACAAACUGGGCAUUUUUAAAACAAAGGGCCCAGAGGAAAACAUUUGAAAAUGUUAGAGUGAGUGGACAAAAAUGAAUUUAAUGAAAAAUAUUUAUGCUUUCUCAAUUUAAAUUUCCAUAGAAAAUAUGCUGCAUGCGACAGCUCAAAAGCUCUCAACUCAACAAUUAGCAAUUACAUGACUAGUUCCGGCUAGUCUUAAUAAAAUAAAGCCUCUCAGGCUAAACUAAUAUAUAUAUAUAUAUAUAUAUAUGUAUUUACACUCGUCAUACCCCAUAUACGAAUUCUAUGAAGGAAUAAGAAAAUUAGAAAUUCAUACAAGGCUACUACGCUUGCAUCUAACGCUCACGUCACACC